Molecule: ribosomal RNA, 497 nt
Filed under: uncultured bacterium
Lineage: Bacteria
Description: partial 16S ribosomal RNA
Rfam family: Bacterial small subunit ribosomal RNA
Source: RNAcentral
GAUGAACGCUGGCGGCGUGCCUAAUACAUGCAAGUCGAGCGAACAGACGAGGAGCUUGCUCCUCUGACGUUAGCGGCGGACGGGUGAGUAACACGUGGAUAACCUACCUAUAAGACUGGGAUAACUUCGGGAAACCGGAGCUAAUACCGGAUAAUAUAUUGAACCGCAUGGUUCAAUAGUGAAAGACGGUUUUGCUGUCACUUAUAGAUGGAUCCGCGCCGCAUUAGCUAGUUGGUAAGGUAACGGCUUACCAAGGAGACGAUGCGUAGCCGACCUGAGAGGGGGAUCGGCCACACUGGAACUGAGACACGGUCCAGACUCCUACGGGAGGCAGCAGUAGGGAAUCUUCCGCAAUGGGCGGAAGCCUGACGGAGCAACGCCGCGUGGGUGAUGAAGGUCUUCGGAUCGUAAACCUCUGUUAUUAGUGAAGAACAAAUGUGUAAGUAACUAUGCACGUCUUGACGGUACCUAAUCAGAAAGCCACGGCUAACUACGUG